CUCCAACGAGCGCAACGGACGAAAGUCUGACGGAGCAACGCCGCGUGAGUGAUGAAGGUUUUCGGAUCGUAAAACUCUGUUGUUAGGGAAGAACAAGUACCGGAGUAACUGCCGGUACCUUGACGGUACCUAACCAGAAAGCCACGGCUAACUACGUGCCAGCAGCCGCGGUAAUACGUAGGUGGCAAGCGUUGUCCGGAAUUAUUGGGCGUAAAGCGCGCGCAGGCGGUUCCUUAAGUCUGAUGUGAAAGCCCACGGCUCAACCGUGGAGGGUCAUUGGAAACUGGGGAACUUGAGUGCAGAAGAGAAGAGUGGAAUUCCACGUGUAGCGGUGAAAUGCGUAGAGAUGUGGAGGAACACCAGUGGCGAAGGCGACUCUUUGGUC
This 385-nucleotide ribosomal RNA is filed under the name uncultured bacterium. RNAcentral's name for it is "bacterial SSU rRNA". It matches the Rfam family "Bacterial small subunit ribosomal RNA", at positions 357 to 734 of the family's 1533-position model. The record is from RNAcentral.